UUCCGUACUCUCUCAAACCCUCCAUCAUUUGGAAAACCUAGUCGCCUUUCUCAAUCUUCUCCAAAUCCGAUCAAAUCAUGGGUUCCUUUUGUGAUUUUCUUACCUUUUAUAUGCUACCUCAUUGCUACUUACAAGAUUAAGGUAUUACAUAGUACAUACCCGAUUCUUGGCAAGUACCAAUCUUUUGAAUCAAGCACAAUCAUCACUAGCUCAGAUUCAGUCCAUUUUUUUUAUCUAUAUACAUUCAUGGCGAGAUUAUAUGGGUCUGGUUCAGAGAGAAUUUUUUAACUAUUUUGGUUCUCCAUCAUGAACUAGGGUUUACCUAAUUUAUCUCAUAACCCGAUUCUAAAUCGGUUUUACAUGCUAUUAUUUCCUUUAUUAUAUGUGAUGUUACAGUGUUUUCUUGUUUGUUGUUCAAUUUCUAUUACUAUAUUAACCCAUAUCCAAUUUCCCUUUUGGAAGACAUACAUUAAUCACCUUAAAAACUAUUACUCUCUUACUCCGCCACUCUAUAUUGUUCUGAACUUUGGCUCUUGGCCGGCUGAAAGCCAAGGUCACCAGAAUUCAAUUAAUUAACCUUUCUUGGUGCGAGCAUUGCCCUUCGUUCAUUUGAAACCCUAGGGAACUCUGACGUACUAAGACUUUGGGUUCUACCGCUCUUUCUUGACGUUUAGAGUACUGUUGAGACUAUUCUUCUUUCUUGUUUUUUUAAUCAGUUGAGUUCCUUGGCCUUUGAAGUGUCAUUCUCUUCGUUUGUGUUCAUGUUCUGCUUCUUCAUUCUACUGAAUUUUAGUGACUCAAUAUGUUUCUAGGCCAUCUCCGUUUGCAGCCUUAAUGGCACUGAAAUUGUUUUGUCACUCUGAACUUCUUUAGCAUUUGAACUUGCCUAUAUUUCCCAAUUCUGAAACAUGUCUAUUACAUGUGUUUAACUUGAACAAUUUUGGUUCUCUUAAGAAUUUAGCUUAGUGUAUUGUUAUCUGGAUGACUAUAUUUUCAACCUAACAUGAGUUUACUUCCCCGCUUUAUUCUGAACUCUUGUGAUGACUAACUCGUAUCCAGAAUGUGUUCAAAUCUUUGUUAAAACAUUUAUGCCCAACCUGUUAUCUUUAUGGAGUUUUACUUUUAAGCUAUGACCUGUUCCCAUGCUAUUUGUAACUCUACUUUAUCUCUUACUUACUUGAUCCUGUGUUCCUCAAUGAUGGUUGGGACCAUUAAAGUAAGUAUCAUAACUAGUAUUUUCUCCUAUAAGGUGAUGCAUGUUUGUCCUAUUGAUGUGAAGUCGACAAGUUUCGUUAACUAUAAGUUUUUCUAGUAUGGUGGUGGAUACUCAAUAUGAUUAAGCGUAUCUUUGAUUAUCAAUCCCUGAAUAUGACUUUGCUGGACCACUCAUGAGUAGGAUCCCUAUAUUUUAAAAUUAUUUAGGUUAGUGGUACAUUCCAAACUUGUUUGGAAUUGUGCACCCUUAUAUGUUUAUCCUAUAAUCUCAAAGAACUUGAUCACCAUAACUCUCUCUCAAUAUGCUUUUCUACUCAAUAUGCUAUCCCCAGCUAAGUUAUCGAACUAAUAAUGUCAACAUUGUUAUAUAAACUUUUUAUGAUGAAGUUAAACCUUAUUGAUUCUCUUAGUUUGCACGUUCUUUGUUUAAUCAACCAUUUUAUGUUUUCUUCUAAAAUACAAGUGCACUUUUUAAACAAAUUCUAUCAUUUAGUCGUUGUUAGUAGGUCGAAAAUUCUUUAAGUAAUUGCUACGUGUAUUUGUUUGGUCAAAUUAUUUCCUCAUACUUGCUUGGUAAGUAAUACUCCAUCUAUGUUUUAACAUGGGUCCAAAUAUGGACUUGGGUUGCGCAACUGAUACAAUCCAGUGUUAUUCAUAGAAAGUGAGCUUGUGGAAGACCCAGGCAGUUAUGGGUUAUUUUUAUUUUUUGGGGGCCUACUCUUGGGCCUGCAGUUUUUCGUGUAUCAUAUUUAUAUAUAUGUUCAUAAAUUGGGCUAUAAUAAUUCGUAAACAAAAAAUUGGGGUAUGUAUAAAAUUGGGGGAAAUGGGUAUAUUCUAAUAUCUGCACAAAAGGAUAAAAUACGUGCCUAUAUGGUCUAUGUGAUCUACUUGUUAUUCUAUCCAACAUGCCAUUUAUGCUUUUUUGUUUCCAUGUAUUGUACACUAGUAUAAACCAAGCCUGUAGGGAAUCAUACACUCACUCAACCUAUUUUACUAUCAGAAGCAUGAGUUUAAGUACUUUGCUUGUUCCUAUGUCUACUGCUGUGCUCUCUUAGAUAACAUGCCUAUAGGAAUCAAGUGUCAAUAACUAUUCACUCAAUUUGUGCAAUGGUAAUGUACUUAGUAGAUAACAUGCCUAUAUGAUUAUAUUAAUUGAUCUAUGCUAAUUCCUUAUCUAGAUACUAUGUCUAUAGGGCUUUAGUUGAUUAACUAAUCGAUUGUUUCUGUUGUCUUAUUACUCUCUCACCUAGAUAACAUGCCUAUAGGAAUAAGCGAUAAAUCUACCAAUUAUUGGAACCUGGCUAUAAAUGCUGCUACUCACUUAUAAAGCAUGCCAGCAGGAUCAAACGAGAGUAAUUCUGAGUUUUUCAAUUGCUAUCACUGCCUCCUUGUCCAAAUCAGUUAGAGAUCAUGUCUAUAGGUUUUAUUAUCGCGAUAAUAUGAAUUGCAGCACUACCAUGAGACUUUCUUAACUAUGUGGUCACUUAGAAACCACUCCCAUAGGUUUAAAACAACACCUCGAACCUGAAAUAGACUAUACAUCAUAUGAAGUCUGCCCGCUUGCAUUUGUUAAUAUGUGUGGAAGCUAACUUGGGCCUUUAUUGUCUAUACGUGAAGUCCUAUCUAUUUUGAAUAUUGCUUAGUUUUAUCAUUUCUGAGCAACCUAAGUUAAGUGUAGAACCACCCAAAUAGUAGGUCCAAAGGCUCCUGAAUCAUAGGCAUGGGAUGGGUAGCGCACGACCUAGAAUUGAGCUAGACCACUUUAGGCAAACAACUUCAACAUAGUAAUCGGGUAGCAGGAGAUGAUAGUCUGUGCUCGCAAAAUAAUAUGAGCAAAUCCUAUCCAAAAGAAGUUGCGAAGUAUUAUUUAUGUUGCAUGGGGUGAUCCUUUAGCCUAAAAAAUAUAGGAACCCCCUCUCCUUUAUAUAUUUGCUAUUAGACCUAAGUAGUUAUACUUAUAGUCAUAUAUGAUUUGUACAAGUUGUGUUAUUAUUCUUAGGCCAUAAUAUUCUUUUUGUUUAUUUGAUCAUCUAGCCUAAUUACAAUCCACAUAGUCUUAAGUUUGGCCUGGAUCUACAGUUGUGGACCUCGAUGUGUGCCUAACACUUUCUCUUUAAGGUAAUUUGAGCCCUUACCCCAUCUUUGGUGACGUUGACUAGUUAAAAUAGAGUUAUUUGCAAAUAGGUUCCCUAACACACCUUAAUAUUGUUAGGUGGCGAAUCUUUUCUUUUAAAACUUUUAUAUUCCAUUUAAAAGAGUUGUCACAUGCCGAAACCCGAUUUCGCGAGAAAAUGGGGUGUGACAGCUUGCAUAUGCAAUUCUCUCAUAGUAUUUUCUUAUUUUAGCUUGGAAAAAGUAAUUCUCAUGGUCUCACUCCUAUAGGUUAAAAAUACACCAAAAAAAUAUUUUUGAAGGGACUUUUGACCUUGGAAGCUUUGGGAGAGCAUUGAAGGAUACAAGACACGGGAUUUCAUCAUCUUUCCAUCAAUUAAAUGUGGGAGUCUGGAUUGUAACAUGAAAUUGAUGUUUUAUCAUUCUUUAAUUAUAUUUGUGAUGACUUCCUCCAUAAUUAUGGAGUAUUUUACCUUAGGAUUUGACGGAUAUGGUAUUUUGAUAAAUAUUUGUGGAUUUUAACUCUAGUUCAUGCUUGAAUUUGUUUAUGGAGUUUUGAAUUGUUUC
RNAcentral lists this long non-coding RNA (3894 nucleotides) under Nicotiana benthamiana. RNAcentral's name for it is "long non-coding RNA (NBEN_LNC015390)". The record is from RNAcentral. Lineage: Eukaryota; Viridiplantae; Streptophyta; Magnoliopsida; Solanales; Solanaceae.